GAACGCUGGCGGCGUGCUUAACACAUGCAAGUCGAGCGGAAAGGCCCUUCGGGGUACUCGAGCGGCGAACGGGUGAGUAACACGUGAGUAACCUGCCCCUGACUCUGGGAUAAGCCUGGGAAACCGGGUCUAAUACCGGAUAUGACACUUCACUGCAUGGUGUGGGUGUGGAAAGUUUUUUCGGUUGGGGAUGGGCUCGCGGCCUAUCAGCUUGUUGGUGGGGUGAUGGCCUACCAAGGCGACGACGGGUAGCCGGCCUGAGAGGGCGACCGGCCACACUGGGACUGAGACACGGCCCAGACUCCUACGGGAGGCAGCAGUGGGGAAUAUUGCGCAAUGGGCGGAAGCCUGACGCAGCGACGCCGCGUGGGGGAUGACGGCCUUCGGGUUGUAAACCUCUUUCAGCAGGGACGAAGUUGACGUGUACCUGUAGAAGAAGCGCCGGCUAACUACGUGCCAGCAGCCGCGGUAAUACGUAGGGCGCGAGCGUUGUCCGGAAUUAUUGGGCGUAAAGAGCUCGUAGGUGGCUU
Molecule: ribosomal RNA, 530 nt
Filed under: Microbispora hainanensis
Lineage: Bacteria; Bacillati; Actinomycetota; Actinomycetes; Streptosporangiales; Streptosporangiaceae
Description: bacterial SSU rRNA
Rfam family: Bacterial small subunit ribosomal RNA
Source: RNAcentral